This is a long non-coding RNA of Pezoporus occidentalis (night parrot), 7638 nucleotides long. RefSeq lists it as uncharacterized. NCBI's taxonomy places the organism in Eukaryota, Metazoa, Chordata, Aves, Psittaciformes, Psittacidae. The transcript is spliced from 3 exons. The record is from RefSeq and is a predicted model, not a curated record.
GGUCAGGAUCACCUCCUUCGACCUGCUGGUCACGCUCCUUUUGAUGCAGCCCAGGAUGCGGUUGGCUUUGUGGGCUGUGAGCACACACUGAAGCUGGCUCAUGUUCAUUUUCUCAUCGAAAAGUGGGAUUGUGUGUGUAAGUGCUGCUUAUCAUGGUAUGCUGUGGGAACUGAGUUUAAACUGGCAUCAUCCACUCAGACCAUUAAAAAGAAGCUGUUUUUACGAUGGAAAAAUUCCUGUUGUGUAUAAAUGUAAAGAAUUAACUCUAUUGAUUAACUAAAAUUUUAGAACAGUCUAAUUGGAACAGUGCCUGAUAAGGAAACAUGGAUUGAUUACAGUGUUUAUUGGGAUACAAAUACAGUGAAAAAGAACUAAACACCAACCGUGAACUCAAGCUAAAAAGGAAUUCAUUUUGUGAAUCAGAAUCAUUGCACAAAAAAAUUCCAUAUGACAGCAGAAGUACUUAGCACAGAGAAAGGAAGGGAGGCCACAGGAGCUUGUGUUUUCUUCUCUUGAUGUAACAUUAUUAAUGUUGAUGGCAUUUCUCCAGCAAAUGUUUCACGUAAAUCAUCUGUCAUCACUUGUAACAGAAUGGUGGCAUAAAGGAGUAUUACAGUUGCCCUGUGAUCUACCUAAAGGUAAUUGCUUGCAUAGGUUUUUAUAGUUGUCAACUGACAAGGAAAAAAAUGAUUAAAAACAUGGAUUUACGUUCUGAUGUACACUUCUCAGAUGGAGUUAAAACUUUCAAAUCUUCUCCCUUUCCAUUAUCCUUAUCCAUUCCAGAUCUCUGUAACGUCCUUUUUCUAUUAUUCUAAUUUCUUCUAUCUCUUCCCACAUCUAGGGUUGUUUGACACAUCUCUAACUCCAUCCUUUCCAUCUUAGUGCUCCACCUGUUAUCAGUUUGUUGGUCCUGCCCCUUCCCUGUUCCUUCAAGAUCUGUCCUGUUUUCUAUGACUGCUGGGACUUUCUGCUCCCAUCAGGACUCUCACAGUUGCGUAUUUCCUUCAGUACUCUGAUUUUUAAUCCAGAGUUUCCAGACCAAUAGCACUUACGUUUUGUUUCUUUGUUUUCAAGAAGGACACAUUUCUAAUGCUUUGAUUUGAGAUCAGGAUGACCUACCUAGCCCAUCCCUAGAUUGACCCUUCAGGUCUCAUCUGCUGUUGGUAGGUUCCUGUGCUUCUGUUUCUCCUAAGGGAGCCUUACUGGUGUACUACUGUACACAAAGAUUAGUGACAUAUGGAGUGCAGAAAGCAAAACCUGUCAGGGCUAGUCUGCUCUCACAGAAGAACUUUAAGACAGAGUGACAGCAAAGGGCAUCCACCAGUGGUGCAGCAGAGCCUACGAACAACUACAAGCCUGAGUAGCUCUUAAACUACUGGAAACGAGCAGUUUGCUUUUCCUUGGCACCUGCUGCACGACAGCAGUCCUGUCUGGUGGGCCAGAAUCCAUUCACCAUGGUGUGCUGCUGCCAGCAUGUGAUGUGGGUCAUAGCAUUCCUAGCAGUUUUGUUUGCCAGUAUCAGCAUCAGGCCUGCUGGUCUUCUCAUGUGCUUUCAAUUCUUUUAUUUUAACUCCUCCUCACUUCCUGUUUGUUGCCUGCUAUUUUGCCGCUGUUGCUGCUGGUUUUCCAUUCUUUCAAGUCCUCCCAGUCCAGCUGUCCCCCAGACUGCCAUGGACCCACCAUCUCCCAUAUUCCACCCCUUCUGCUGCUACAGGGGCAUCACCCACAGUUAUUUCCUCUGCAGGAAAUAACUAUCAUUCCUGCUGUACUACACACCAUGGUUAUUGGAGGGCAUGAGUUAAAUAACUAAAUUGUCUUGAGACUGAGCACCAUGUAAGGGUUACAGCAUGAUCGUAUUUGUUCUGGGCAAUCAACUUUAUGUAAUGGGAAACUCCAUCCAAAGCCAGAUCUAGGAAAAAGCUGGGUGAGGCUGUCAAAUGCAUAAUGUUACCCUUGUCUGGUGCAGCUUUAAGCCGAAACUUCGCACUUCCACAAAAUGUUCCUCAAAAGAGCAAGUUUGGCCCAGAAGUAUUGUGUCUGGAUGGUAAUCUAUCUGAGAAAUCACUUUUACUUUUCUGCUAAUUGCAAACUCUCUCAGAUUCUGAGAUUCACAUUCCUAUUUCUGGAAACAAAUCCAUGACCCCUGAUAAUUUGUUGUAACGGUUAACAGGAAAAUGGAACUGUCAUUUAUGUUUCAGCUUGACUUUGUGUACAGACUCAGGCAAUUACAUCUCCAUCUUUUAGUUAAUUUUAUCUGCUACAGACUCAGUUAAAUUUACUUGCAGAUUUCAGUUAUAUCCGGAAAGUCUGCAGGAUAUGAACAAUUGCUGGUUGUAUAUUAAUCACUGAGAUGUUUUAUCCUGACUUCCUAAGGAAAUAAAGCUUAUAUGAGCAAUUAAUACAUUUGUGUGCAUGCUCCUUUGUCUGUCCUUUUCCUGUCUAAUUGACUAAUCAUCUCAGUCAAUUUCAGAUUGACUAAUUUACUAAGAAAAGUCAUUCUUUUAGAAAUGAAUUGUGUACUCCUUAAAUGCUGUGUUGUCCCUCAUAGUUUUGGGUUAUUUUUCUUCCUUUCACUGAGGAAAAGGUUACAAUAUUAACCUUCUACCUGUUAGUCUUAAGAAAACCCACACAUGAGAGCAACAAGUGCCCCAACCACAGAAUAGGCUUCAGUUGGUGAACAUAACUUAUUAGGCACUGUUACAAGCCACAAAUGCAGAAGGAACCAAUAUAAGCAGUUUUGUUGCUCACAGAACCUCUGUUUUUGUUCACCUGAUUUUCUUAAAAUCCUGAAUGCUGGGUCACAUGACAUGCAUGGGAAUAAAGUUUGAAAAUAGUUAUGAUAAUGGCUAUUUAAACACUUCUAGUAAAUGUUUAAGUUUCAAAUGCUUUCAGCUGUGUAUCUGUAAAGAAAAACAUUUCUUGCUUUAUUAAAAUUAUCAGAUUUACAGUCAGACUUUUUUCCAUGAGGUCAGCACAUUCUUGUGGCUGGAAAAGGUCCAUAUCUACUAGCUUUCCACCAAGAAAUGCUAUAAAUGCCUGCUAAGCCAUCAGGGGCACAGAAGAAUGUGGGAUAUGACACCAUCUGUCCCUUGUGCUGUUCAGAAGAUGAGUCCUUUGAGAGUGAGGGUCUGCAGACGGAGCAGGUAAAAAUUAAAAAGCUGAAAGUUAGGAGAUGACAAUGUGGCUAUAUUACCCUCCACCCACAUUCAUGCUUUUGUAGCCUCCUUUGUCCCUGGAGCAAAUCCAAAGAAGUUGAAAACAGCAGCAGGGGAAGGAAAUACUCUGAGAAAUUUGCCAAAAUAGUGUAAUUAUGAUUGACUGAAGGAGCACAACUGCCACAGGAGAGGAUGCAGACUUUGAGGGCUGGCAUGGAUCUUCAAUGCUUCUAGGCAUAUACUGUCAGGUAUGCGAGGAUAACCCAGAAAUCACCUUCUCCUUCAUAAGCAGUAAGCCAGAGCAGUGCAGAGAUUAGGGCACCUGAGAAAAUGGAGUUCAGACCCAGAGGAGUUGCAGGAGAGGACAGAUCCUUGUGACAGAGUGCAAAUACCAUAAUUUCUUGUCAAAGCAAGGAAGAUCUACUGGAAUUUAGCAUAAGGCACAGAUCUACCUCUUUGCUGUGACAGUGGCAGGCAAAACUUGAGGGGAGAAAAAAAAGAACAACUGGCUUUCUUGAAAUUUUAUUAGUGGUUGUAUGUGAGAUGGUAAUAACAUAGUACCUGUGAUGCGCUAAAGAUAUAAUCAAGUGAUCUUUUUCUGGAGAAGCUAAUUUACAUGGUAAUUAUCUUGCUCAGUACGUAUACAGUUGAUGAAAAUACAGACUAUUUGGGGAGCACAUAAGCUCUUCUCCAACUGACUUUUUUUGUGUGAUGUUUUUAACUUUUAAAAAUAUUUCACAUGAUCUAAACAUUUAUAGAUAUCAGAUUUGCUUUACAAUUAGAAAUAUGUUUGCUUAGUUUACAAAUGAACUAAUAUGAUUCCCUACUGUCUUGCAUCAGUUUACUUUAAGGUUAUUAUUGUUUAUCAUUUUUGUUCUAAAAUGCAAAUGCAUGGUCCCACAUGUGGUGAGCCCUGUAAUGUUAGUUACUACAGAAAUAAAGAAUAAAAGGUAGCCAGAGGCUAAAUUGACACCUAAUUUAUUUUUCAUUUCAUUCUUUGGUGAAGUAACCUUACUGUAUUUUUAGAUGACUUCUAAAGGUUUGCAAUCAGCAAAUACCAUAAUGAUGUAACAAUUUACCUAGUGUUUGCAUAUAUGCAAAAAUCCUUAAUGCAAGCAUGUCCAAGGUUAUUUGAAAUUGCAUUGCUAAAGCAGAACAGGCAGUAAGUGCCAUUGCAGACCAUUUUAAGAGGAUUGAUCUUGUUUCAACUUUUCCGAUAUGUCCACAAUUCUCAUGCAUUUCAAGGCCAAUUCUUUUCAAAAAAGAAAUCUACGUCUUAAGUGUGCAAUGUUCUUUUACGUUAGUGGACCUGGAGAGUUUGCCUGUUAGACAUCCGCUUUGCAUCAGUACUGUGCUUCAACAAAAUAUGGAGAGUUACAUAAUCACCUUGGUCUUAACUGGCAUAUCAGUUGGCAUUUAUUGCAAUGAACAGUGUAUUUCCAAUGUAACAGGUGAUAAGAAUGCCACUUCAGAAACAGCUUUUCGACCAUGAGCAGGACAUCUUACUCACAAAAGAGUUAAUUUUGGUGAAAAGGUUCCAACUGAUUUUCUAGCUCUCAUUUUCAUGCCAUGCUCUUUGCAGAGCUGUCUGGUCUUCUAGAUUUGCAUAUAUUUUGGCCAUUAAAUUUGUUGGUACCACAGAAGUUGGUACCACAGAAUUAAGGGUUUUACCAGAAAAAAAGAGCUACUUCAUGGGAGUCCACAAGUUGAAUUUGCAACAUAUCGGCAAGUGUAAACUAAUGUGGCAGGGAACGUAUUUUUAUUAAGAAAAAACAUCCUUAUUGUUACUUAACUGUCCAGAAUCUGUAAGAAAAAUAAUAAACUUACUGCAUUUUUCACCUCAAUUCAGUUUGAUAACAAAAAGUAUUUUUUCCCUGUUAAUGAGAAACCUUGUAUUUCACUUAGUUAUAAUCUCAGCUCUUGCUUGCUCUUCAUGUCUCUGUCCUUAAAGAUUAAUGUACAAUACUUGAGAAUGCAGCUGACUGAAUUCUUCAGUGAAACAAUUUUUUAGCUGCACAAUACUCAUACACUGUAUAAUAAGGCACUUGCAAGAGCCUAGGUGCUUCAACAGGACUUUUACUGAAAUGCAAAACUCCAAGAGAGCAAGAGGUAUAAUAGGUAAUAGCCUUGUGAUUGUGGAACUCUUUUGGGAGAUAAGCAGAACAUUCAGGAGCCUCUUCUGCCUUAUUUAGGUGUUGGGCCUAGAUUUCUCCUUCUUCAUCUUAAUUUAGUCCCUGAGUGCUAGGUAUGAGAGAAAUGGCUAUACAGAUCUAGUCCAAUGAUUAUUCUGUCUACCUAGGAUUUUGGGUACUCAGCUUCACAGCUUUGUCGCAGAGAAUUUAAAUGAAAUAUACAAUAACAAAAAGUCAUAAUCCAUUUCUACUUUAGGAAAACCACUGUAGAGUUGAUUUCCUGAUGGUUGAAGCAGAUUCCUGGAACAGGGAUGAAUGGCAGACCUGCAGACUGAAUCUGAAUCUUUGACAUCUUAGGUAAAUUCCUCUCACUGCCAGACUUCUGUCUGUUCAUCCAUAAAAUUGAAGGGGUUUAGUGUAAUUUAGUAAAGAAAAAGAACAAUUAAGAAACCUUAAAAAUUUCCUAGUCUAACCUGAUACUAUCUUUCAUCAAUAGGGGCCAUAUUUAAUAAAAAAUAUUUAUGACUGCACAUGAUUAUAAACUCAUUUCAGUUUGAAUGUGUAUUUAUAUACUGAUAUCAUUAAGAAUUACUUUUGUCAGCAGUCAAAUCUGGUCUUCUAUGAUGUUGACAAUGUUCUGUAUAUAGAAAGGGAGAAUCUCAGAGAAAACUUGACAAACUUUGUAUACCUUCCAAGACAGUGAUAAAUUUUUGAGAAAAAUUCAGUGGCCCCUCGUUUUUUUUGCAUAAAGUAUACUCUUAAAACUAUCAGGUAAAACACACAGUGUUGUAAUUUUAUAACAACAUUUAGCUGGUAAUUAACAUAGUAACAGAUAAGUAUUUGGUAAAAAUAGAAACGGGUCUUAAUUCUUUUUUAUCAUGGAUGUCAACGUUUCUUUGCUGUGAUUACAUCUGGGCUAUUUUCCCAUUUUUUGAGGCUAAACAUAAAUUCAGAUUACAAAUAUUUGCUUCUAAAGAAUAUUUACUGAAAGAGGAAAAGCCUAAAAUAGUAUGUCUUAGCAGGUUGCUUCUUUCGUAAACAGGAUUAACAUAAAUGGUGCUGCCAGAUUAUGAUGAUUAAUGGUUCAAAACUCUAUAGAUCUGCAUUAUGUAAUGCACCUCAUAUCCUUGAAAUGAGGAUGGUCAUUUGUCAUUGUUGUUUACAGCUCAAAUUACAACAGCUUGGACAACAGAGACAAGCUCCCCUGUGGGCCACUUAGUUGAACUUGACUGAAGAAUGUCUGCCCCUGGAAAGAAAAAUAUUUGAUUUCCAACAGAGAACUGGACGUUUCUGUGCCAAAUGGGACAGUGUUUGGAAAAAGCUGGAACAGAAUGGAAAGAAGUUUAAAUUAUCAUGCUAAGACUGAAAGUUAUUACAUAGAUACCUAAAACCAAAAUACACCUAUGUGGGUAUCUGUCUACUGUAAAUGUUCCUCCUUUUCUAUUUUCAAUCAGUGUUAACUGCAUAAAGCUAAUGUAUAAUCAUUCCUUGGAACUUCCUCUCAAAAAUAUAGGCACAUUUUGUUAAAUGUGUAACAUAGGCAGCAAGUGAUAUGGCCAUAUCAAGCCGUUUAAAAGAAGACAUGGGCAGGUCAGAUCUAUCUUCAAAGACUAGAGGGCCCUGCAAAAUUCAUAGUACCAGAGCUAGAUGCCUUUGUAUCUAGUGUCAUAUACAAUUAUAGUUUAGCCUGGAGGAGCUCUCUCUCUGUUGCCUGUCCCAGAGAUAUCAGAAUUUCAGUAUUAAGACUCAAUAUAGUAUACAGAUUUUUAGUUCGGAGCCAGUAUAUUUGAAUCAAGGACAACUGCUGUCAUCAGGUGAAGAUUUUAGUUUUAAUCAGCCCCCUUCAAACACAUAUCUGCUCCAUAUAGGUACGUGUUUAUGUAUCUGAAUACAUAUGUAUACAUACACGUUAUUUUGGCACUGGUACUCAGAUCUUUCUCAUAAUACUGUUUUCCAUUAUCUGUCCUUGCAUAUCUCCUUUCAGUGGACACAAUAUAUACUUAUAGAUUGAGAAUUUGAAAGGAAAAGAAUCCAUAUAUUCUGUGAAGGCAUCUGUGUGGUUUUAUAUAAGAUUUUUAUAAGACUGAAAUUAAAAAGGGCAAAGAGAACAUCAUAAAGGUGCCAUGUGGUGCAGGAUUUACCAUGGAAACAACACUACAGAAUGCAAGAUCAGGCUUCAGAAUAGCUUUAUCUUAAUCACCUUCAGUUCUUCCAUAUAUUCCAAGUGUUCUUCUUUGCUCAACAUGGAGUGAACAUGAAACAUAACAAAUCUGUGGGCUGAAGGACAAUAUGCUUCACUUGCACAACUUUUCAGUCAUUGCCAACCUGUUUUAGUAAUAAAUUCCUGUUGU